UUGAGAACUGAAUUCCAAGGGUG
RNAcentral lists this microRNA (23 nucleotides) under Danio rerio (zebrafish). Its description in RNAcentral is "Dre-Mir-146-P4-v2_5p (mature (guide))". Lineage: Eukaryota; Metazoa; Chordata; Actinopteri; Cypriniformes; Danionidae. The record is from RNAcentral.